This 29-nucleotide non-coding RNA is filed under the name Rattus norvegicus (Norway rat). Lineage: Eukaryota; Metazoa; Chordata; Mammalia; Rodentia; Muridae. The record is from RNAcentral.
UGAGAGCUUGUUAAUUAGUGUAUGGGUCC